Molecule: ribosomal RNA, 411 nt
Filed under: uncultured Pseudomonas sp.
Lineage: Bacteria; Pseudomonadati; Pseudomonadota; Gammaproteobacteria; Pseudomonadales; Pseudomonadaceae
Description: bacterial SSU rRNA
Rfam family: Bacterial small subunit ribosomal RNA
Source: RNAcentral
UUACCAGGCCUUGACAUGCAGAGAACUUUCCAGAGAUGGAUUGGUGCCUUUCGGGAACUCUGACACAGGUGCUGCAUGGCUGUCGUCAGCUCGUGUCGUGGGAUGUUGGGUUAAGUCCCGUAACGAGCGCAACCCUUGUCCUUAGUUACCAGCACGUUAUGGUGGGCACUCUAAGGAGACUGCCGGUGACAACCGGAGGAAGUGGGGAUGACGUCAAGUCAUCAUGGCCCUUACGGCCUGGGCUACACACGUGCUACAAUGGUCGGUACAAAGGGUUGCCAAGCCGCGAGGUGGAGCUAAUCCCAUAAAACCGAUCGUAGUCCGGAUCGCAGUCUGCAACUCGACUGCGUGAAGUCGGAAUCGCUAGUAAUCGUGAAUCAGAAUGUCACGGUGAAUACGUUCCCGGGCCUU